CAAGAUAUGUUUUUGUUCAACUGGCAGGCGAAGGUAGGCAAGACAGUUGCAAAAUAAAUCCUAUUUUGCCACCCAGAACUCAUUACUCAAUGUACGUUUUGGUGCAUACAAGAAGGAAUAUG
This is a small nucleolar RNA of Myodes glareolus (Bank vole), 122 nucleotides long. RefSeq annotates it as small nucleolar RNA SNORA40. The record is from RefSeq and is a predicted model, not a curated record. NCBI's taxonomy places the organism in Eukaryota, Metazoa, Chordata, Mammalia, Rodentia, Cricetidae.